Molecule: ribosomal RNA, 305 nt
Filed under: uncultured bacterium
Lineage: Bacteria
Description: partial 16S ribosomal RNA
Rfam family: Bacterial small subunit ribosomal RNA
Source: RNAcentral
ACAGCAGCAGCCGCGGGAAAACGUAGGGGGCAAGCGUUAUCCGGAAUAACUGGGCGUAAAGGGUGCGCAGGUGGUUUAACAAGUUAGUGGUGAAAGGCAUAGGCUCAACCAAUGUAAGCCAUUAAAACUGUUUAACUUGAGUGCAGGAGAGGAAAGUGGAAUUCCUAGUGUAGCGGUGAAAUGCGUAGAUAUAUGGAGGAACACCGGUGGCGAAAGCGGCUCUCUGGCUUGUAACUGACGCUGAGGCUCGAAAGCGUGGGGAGCAAACAGGAUUAGAGACCCCUGUAGUCCCUGUCUCUUAUACA